CCCAUCCCCGCCCCGCCUCCGGCCCCGCCCAGUGCCGACGCCCGCACCCGGUGGAGGAGUGCCGUGCGCUGCUGGGAGUUUGGGAGAUCCAGCGGUGAAGGCGGGAGUGGAGCCCCGCGUGGAUACCCAGCAUGGACGACUACACAGUCCUGCGAGUGAUUGGCCAAGGCUCCUUCGGCCGGGCCCUCUUGGUUCGGCAGGAAAGCAGCGGUCAGAAGUUUGCCAUGAAGGAAGUAAGACUUCUCAAGUCUUUCUCUGAGAGUCAGAAUUCUAGGAAAGAGGCUGUUCUGCUGGCGAAAAUGAAGCACCCCAAUAUUGUUGCCUUUAAAGAGGCAUUUGAAGCUGAAGGGCACCUGUACAUCGUGAUGGAGUAUUGUGAUGGCGGGGAUCUAAUGCAGAAGAUUAAACAGCAAAAAGGAAAGUUACUUCCUGAAGAUACGAUACUUAACUGGUUUAUACAAAUUUGUCUCGGAGUAAAUCACAUUCACAAGAAACGUGUGUUACACAGAGAUAUCAAGUCCAAAAAUGUCUUCCUCACCCAAAGUGGAAAAGUGAAACUGGGGGAUUUUGGCUCUGCCCGUCUUCUCUCCAGUCCCAUGGCCUUUGCCUGUACAUACGUGGGAACACCUUAUUAUGUGCCGCCAGAAAUUUGGGAAAACCUGCCUUAUAACAAUAAGAGUGACAUCUGGUCCUUGGGAUGCAUUCUGUAUGAACUCUGCGCUCUGAAGCAUCCAUUCCAGGCACAUAGUUGGAAAAACCUUAUCCUGAAAAUAUGUCAAGGUCCCAUCCACCCACUGCCAGCCCCGUAUUCCUCUAAGCUUCAGUGUCUCGUCAAGCAGAUGUUGAAAAGGAACCCUUCCCAGCGUCCCUCCGCUACCACCCUGCUUGCCAGAGGCAGUUUGGCUCCACUGGUCCUGAAGUGCUUACCCCCCGAGAUCAUCAGAGAAUAUGGAGAGCAGAUACUGGAUGAAACCAAAAUAUCUGAGCCCAAGAAACUGAAAAAAAGGGCAGACCCCAGCGGAGUCAGGAUAGCUCCGGGAGAUGAAGCAAACGCCAUGCGAGAGGAAGAGCACGAUAGAAAGUGUAGCCGUGCUGAAUUGGAAAGCACUCAUACAAAAUCAGUUGGAAGCUCACCGAGGAGAGUAGCCGGAGGAAAUCCGGAAUCAGGUAGUCCAUCAGAGCAGCAGAGGAGGACCAUUCCAGCAAGCCCUCACAGGCAGCAGUGGGAGAGACAUGCUCCCAGUUCAGCUCUAGCAGCAUUGGAAGAAGCACCCAUCCUUACCUCCAGUUUCACGGCCGAGGAGGACAGAGGUGGUUCUGUAAUAAAGUACAGUGAAAGUCAUGCCCGUAAGCAGUGGCUCAGAGAGCCCCCUGAGACCUUGUUGUCAAUGCUGAAGGAUGCUGAUCUCAGCCUGGCAUUUCAAACAUACACAAUAUAUAGACCAGGUACAGAAGGAUUCUUGAAAGGUCCCCUUUCUGAAGAAACAACAUCAGACAGUGUCGAUGGUGAUUUUGAGUCUGUCAUUUUGGAUCCAGAGAGAUUUGAACCGCGGCUGGAUGAAGAAGACACGGACUUUGAGGAAGAUGGUGAAAACCCUGAUUGGGUGUCAGAGCUCCAGAAGCAAGUGGGAUGGCAGGACGUGUAUGAUGGGAAACUCCUCGGAGAACGUGCCUGAGCCUGUGGGGAGAUGCUGAUGACUGGAAAGGAAAUGAAGACAGGAAAUGUACCACAAGCUUAAAAAACAACCCAGAGCCCUUGUCAGAAGAUCAGCCAUGAGAUGAAUGGGUAUGCUCUAGAGCUUCCCAGAAGAUUGUCAUCCUGGACCUGAGGCAGGACUACAGCCAAAGAGAUGUGACGAAUGUCAGAAGUUAGCACGUGUUAUGGAAUGAUGUGGGGCACCAUGCACAUCCAUGCUGGAUCCUGGACCCCAUCAUGUAUUACCUCAUUUAAUGCUGUGACACUUUAGAGAAGGGAGAAUCUUUCCCCAGUGAGGAAACUGGCUUCUUCUGACCCCGUAUGAUGAAGAGUGGGUAGAAAUUAUAGUCCAGUCAUUCACCAGGAUCUGCUGAAAUAUGGACUAUGCGUAGCUUUUAACAACUUAACUCCUCCCUUUUUUUCAGUGCUGGGGAUCAAACCCAGGACCUUAUGAAUGCAAGGCAAGUAAUCUGCCACAGCCGCACCACAGCCCAGCUUCUGUCUAUCUUAACAUGCAAAGGCUGUGCAAAUCCCCACCUGACCUGUGUAUCUCCCUGUGCUCAGUCUUGUGGUCAGUGUGAGCUUCCUUUUGUCUCUGGCAAUUUCCCUGUCUUCCCUUGCCAUUUUUGGGGAGUGCUGGUUAGGUAUUUUGUUUUCAUCCUCAAUUUGGGUGUGUCUGGUGUUCUUCACAAAGGUAAGCCCCGUCCUCAUCGUACAUGAUGUCAGCAUGGUGUGCCACAGAUGCUGCUUGCUGAGAUCAGUAGUUAACUCAGUAUCUGCUGGGCUUCUCAUCACAGGUACUAACUUCCUGUCCCUGUUCUGGUCACUGUCACUAACGGCCCCACUGAUGCUGAGAGGACUCAUGGUCUACCUCUGUUAGAGCAAAGAGUGUAAUGUUACACUAAGUCGCUGGUUAGGUUGCUUAAUUGUGUCCAGUUGGUUUCUGUGCACUUUGUGAUGUUCUUGUCCUUUUAAAUUACUACAUUUUAAAAUUACUAGAUUAAAUUAGAUAAAGUAGGA
This is an RNA transcript of Peromyscus leucopus (white-footed mouse), 2716 nucleotides long. It is a transcript of the gene named NIMA related kinase 3, with no coding region annotated. Lineage: Eukaryota; Metazoa; Chordata; Mammalia; Rodentia; Cricetidae. The record is from RefSeq and is a predicted model, not a curated record. The transcript is spliced from 17 exons.